AUAUAUCAAAUCUUUUUUUCCUACCGAGCCCCGGAAGGGACAUGUCCGUAUGGCGAAGCGACAAUGAAGGACACUCACCCGGACGAGAAUUUUAUUGAGUUUUAUUUUGAAAUUGGCCUGAAAUACACAGACAUUCAAGCAGUGCGAUGCGCUAAGAGUCUGCCAUGCAGACCAGCGAUCCUGAUAAUGUUGUCGGCCUUGGAUGAUGAGGUCCAGUUACCAGGAGCACUAGUCCGCAGCUUACUGGUUCCGUCCUGCAGCUCCUCCACGCUGUCCUCCUCUCUACAGACCAAAUCAAGAAAAGGGAACCAGGAAGCUGCUGUGGAUCCUCUACAGUGUCUGGAGAGGUCAGAGGAACGGUUCUUGGAACAGAUCGGAAGACACCAAGACGUGACCUCUGCCAUGCUCCAGAACAUCCAGAAGAUGAAUGA
This is a long non-coding RNA of Acanthochromis polyacanthus (spiny chromis), 431 nucleotides long. RefSeq lists it as uncharacterized. The record is from RefSeq and is a predicted model, not a curated record. NCBI's taxonomy places the organism in Eukaryota, Metazoa, Chordata, Actinopteri, Pomacentridae. The transcript is spliced from 3 exons.